ACNCAAAGUAGCCCCAUUUGCAAAGUUUAU
RNAcentral lists this non-coding RNA (30 nucleotides) under Mus musculus (house mouse). Lineage: Eukaryota; Metazoa; Chordata; Mammalia; Rodentia; Muridae. The record is from RNAcentral.